This 584-nucleotide ribosomal RNA is filed under the name uncultured bacterium. RNAcentral's name for it is "bacterial SSU rRNA". It matches the Rfam family "Bacterial small subunit ribosomal RNA", at positions 338 to 916 of the family's 1533-position model. The record is from RNAcentral.
CCUACGGGAGGCAGCAGUGGGGAAUUUUGGACAAUGGGGGCAACCCUGAUCCAGCAAUGCCGCGUGAGUGAAGAAGGCCUUCGGGUUGUAAAGCUCUUUUGUCAGGGAAGAAACAGCAGCUCUAACACAGACUGCGAAUGACGGUACCUGAAGAAUAAGCACCGGCUAACUACGUGCCAGCAGCCGCGGUAAUACGUAGGGUGCGAGCGUUAAUCGGAAUUACUGGGCGUAAAGCGUGCGCAGGCGGUUAUACAAGACAGGCGUGAAAUCCCCGGGCUUAACCUGGGAAUGGCGUCUGUGACUGUAUAGCUAGAGUGUGUCAGAGGGGGGUGGAAUUCCACGUGUAGCAGUGAAAUGCGUAGAUAUGUGGAGGAACACCAAUGGCGAAGGCAGCCCCCUGGGAUAACACUGACGCUCAUGCACGAAAGCGUGGGGAGCAAACAGGAUUAGAUACCCUGGUAGUCCACGCCCUAAACGAUGCUGACUAGUUGUUGGGAAUUUACAUUCUCAGUAACGUAGCUAACGCGUGAAGUCAGCCGCCNGGGGAGUACGGUCGCAAGAUUAAAACUCAAAUGAAUUGACGG